This is a long non-coding RNA of Mauremys reevesii (Reeves's turtle), 198 nucleotides long. RefSeq lists it as uncharacterized. The transcript is spliced from 2 exons. NCBI's taxonomy places the organism in Eukaryota, Metazoa, Chordata, Testudines, Geoemydidae. The record is from RefSeq and is a predicted model, not a curated record.
CACAAUUCUUUAAUCCCACACAGCCAAUGCACACCAGCUCCAGAGAUGGGAACUUCCACCCUUCACGCAGCAACAUUAAAGCGCACUGGAACCCAUACAAACAAAACAGGAAACUGACUGAGUAUUCAGGGGAAAGAGUGAAACUGACUAUACAUAAAGUGCUGUCAAAUGCACAAAGUGACCUGAAAACGGAAGAGA